ACACUGGACCCAAAGUCCAGAGGAGGAAACAGUACCUCACAGAUAUGGACCAGUCUAUACAACACUGUCAUUACUUCUCAGGAUUCCGUGGGUAAACAAAGUGCGUUAUCGCUGCAAAAAGAUAAUGAAGGAUUGAGAAAGUCAAGGCUUGGCAGCAGCACUGAGCUCUUGGGCCUUGAGCAGUACUUAGGGGAUGGAGGUGUAGACUCAUCAGAGUCCAGAGGGGCCUACCUUUCCCUGGUUUACCUGCGC
Sardina pilchardus (European sardine) is the source of this 252-nucleotide long non-coding RNA. RefSeq lists it as uncharacterized. The transcript is spliced from 3 exons. The record is from RefSeq and is a predicted model, not a curated record. Lineage: Eukaryota; Metazoa; Chordata; Actinopteri; Clupeiformes; Clupeidae.